Molecule: ribosomal RNA, 333 nt
Filed under: uncultured bacterium
Lineage: Bacteria
Description: bacterial SSU rRNA
Rfam family: Bacterial small subunit ribosomal RNA
Source: RNAcentral
AAUCAACGCUGGCGGUGUGCCUCAGACAUGCAAGUCGAACGCGAAAGUUCCCUUCGGGGGAUGAGUAGAGUGGCGCACGGGUGAGUAACACGUAGGUAAUCUACCUUUGGAUGGGGAAUAACAACCGGAAACGGUUGCUAAUACCGCAUAAUGCAGCGGCACCUAAAUGGUGACAGUUGUUAAAGCGGGGGAGUCGAAAGACCUCGCGUCUGAAGAGGAGCCUGCGGCGGAUUAGCUAGUUGGUAAGGUAACGGCUUACCAAGGCGACGAUCCGUAGCCGGCCUGAGAGGGCGGUCGGCCACACUGACACUGACAUACGGGUCAGACUCCUAC